ACGAAAGUCGGAAGUGCCCAAAGCCGGUGGGGUAACCUUCGGGAGCCAGCCGUCUAAGGUAAAGUCGAUGAUUGGGGUGAAGUCGUAACAAGGUAGCCGUAUCGGAAGGUGCGGCUGGAUCACCUCCUUUCUAGGGAGA
RNAcentral lists this ribosomal RNA (139 nucleotides) under Veillonella sp. S13054-11. Its description in RNAcentral is "partial 16S ribosomal RNA". It matches the Rfam family "Bacterial small subunit ribosomal RNA", at positions 1404 to 1533 of the family's 1533-position model. The record is from RNAcentral. Lineage: Bacteria; Bacillati; Bacillota; Negativicutes; Veillonellales; Veillonellaceae.